RNAcentral lists this ribosomal RNA (253 nucleotides) under uncultured bacterium. RNAcentral describes it as "partial 16S ribosomal RNA". It matches the Rfam family "Bacterial small subunit ribosomal RNA", at positions 524 to 776 of the family's 1533-position model. The record is from RNAcentral.
UACGGAGGGUGCGAGCGUUGUCCGGAAUCACUGGGCGUAAAGGGCGCGUAGGCGGCCGUGUAAGUCACUUGUGAAAUCCCGGGGCUCAACUCCGGGGCUGCAGGUGAGACUGCGUGGCUAGAGCUUGGUAGAGGCGAGUGGAAUUCCCGGUGUAGCGGUGAAAUGCGCAGAUAUCGGGAGGAACACCAAUGGCGAAGGCAGCUCGCUGGGACGUUACUGACGCUGAGACGCGAAAGCGUGGGGAGCAAACAGG